RNAcentral lists this microRNA precursor (100 nucleotides) under Mesocricetus auratus (golden hamster). RNAcentral's name for it is "miRNA (ENSMAUG00000001670.1)". The record is from RNAcentral. Lineage: Eukaryota; Metazoa; Chordata; Mammalia; Rodentia; Cricetidae.
GAAAUGCCUGCAUGAGAUCCAGCUGUAAGGCAUUUUCUCAUUUAGUACGGGGAGGACCCAGCCCAUUGUGGGUGGCACCAUCCCAGGGCUGGUGGUCUUG